Molecule: long non-coding RNA, 5959 nt
Filed under: Homo sapiens (human)
Lineage: Eukaryota; Metazoa; Chordata; Mammalia; Primates; Hominidae
Description: non-protein coding APTR:23
Rfam family: Metazoan signal recognition particle RNA (bases 4943-5059)
Source: RNAcentral
CUUCGGAGGUCAGAGCUCGGCGGGGUGCGGCUAGUGGCGGAGCGCGCUGCGAGGGGAGGGCUUUCCACUGUCGCUGGCGUGAACUCGCGUGCCCGCAAGCUGGAUUUCGGGAAUGCUCAGUUCAGAAGAGAAAAAAUUGCCGGGAAUCAAGUCCUUCUUUUUGUUAGUCGGUAGUCGAUUGAUGGGAAGUGUUCAAAAUCAUUCGAUGUGGUGACAAGGCUUCACCAGGUACUGCCUUCUAACGAGCUGGCCAUUUCCACAUGUCAGAUAGGACCAACUUGCCUUUUAACUACCCGUGUGAUACUUAAACACUGUUGCCGGUAUCACAGCUUUUCUUCAAAACAGGGCAGUCAGUGAAGGCUCCCCAGGGGAGAUGACGUUUGAGCCGAGUUUCAGAAGAUGAUUGGAGUUUACCACGUGUUCACAGGAAGCAACGAGAAUGAGGGCAUUCCAGUAGCAGGAGACAGCAUGCAUAGAGAUGCUGAUGAAGAAAGAGCCUAGCGCACGUGGGAAACUGCAAAAGUUCAGACUGGUUGGAAUGCUGGAAAUGUUGUGAAUGACAGGAGAUGAGGCUGGCGAGAAAACAGAGGUCAGAUUGUGGAAGGCUGUCAAGCCAAAGACUUUGAUUUUAUUCUUGAGAUUGAUGAGAUGUGUGUAAUCCAGGAGUGUGCAAAACAAUCUGUAAGGGUUCAGAAAACAUACUGCUUCUAUAUAUAGUUACCUUUGUCUUAACUUGAAAAUUUCAAAUUGUGUAGGAGUUACAAUGUGUGUAAUUGUUAUUAUAGUACUGGAUCCAAAUAAUUUAUAAAUAAAUAAAUAUAGACAUAAUAUGGUGUAUUACAGGUUAAAUUGUGUACCUCAAAAAUUCAUGUUUAAGUUCUAACCCUCAUUAUCUCAAACUGUGACCUUAUUUGGAAAUACUAUCAUUGCAGAUGCAAUAGUUAAUGAGGUCAAGUUAAGAAGCAAUAGGAGGCCACCACACCUGGCCUAAAUCCACAUGUAUUUGUAAUAGUUUUGCCAUUGUUUAGACAGGUAGUUUUAAGAUUUUUUAAAGUAAUAGAAGCCUUUCUUCAAAUUAAAUCUUAUGUGGAAGUCCAGUAUGCAGCAAUUAUGUUAGGUAGUCAUAGAGGACUGGCCAUUCGUAAAAAAAAAUAUACCCUUGUUUUAAAUCUUUGUUUCUUGAAUUUAGUCUUGAAGUUCCAUGUUUUAUGACUAUGUAUUCCAUGUUUAUUUUAUAGUGUGUUAGCAAAAUGAAAGGAAUGUACAUGGAUGGGGAUGAUAAAGAUGCUACUGACCUAUUAUUAUAGGGCCUGUGCUUGGAGUUGCUUUUCAGUAAUGGGAUUGGAUUUGUAAGAAUCUGUCCAUCAGGCUGGGUGCAGUGGCUGACGCCAGUAAUCCCAGCACUUUGGGAGGCCGAGGCUCAAGUAGCUCAAUUUGCUCAAAAAAAAAAAAAAAAAAAAAGAAUCCAUCUAUCGUCUGGCCGGGCACGAUGGCUCACGCCUGUAAUCCCAGCACUUUGGGAGACUGAGGCGGGCGGAUCACGAGGUCAAGAGAUCGAGACCAUCCUGGCCAACAUGGUCAAACCCCGUGUCUACUAAAAAUACAAAAAUUAGAUGGGCGUGGUGGUGGGCGCCUGUAAUCCAUCCCAGCUACUCAGGAGGCUGAGGCAGGAGAAUCACUUGAACCCGGGAGGCGGACCACUGCACUCCAGCAGAGUGAGACUCCCUCCCAAAAAAAAAGAAUCCAUCUAUCCUCUUUAAUUUAGUCCCCUUUGUGGCCACACAGCAGUCUGUGUCCUACACCCUCUUGGUCAAGAAUAUAAUGUCUACUACUCACAAAAAUAUAUUUCUCAGUAAGUGACUCCCCUUCCUCUCAUCAUUGUUCUUUUAGCAAUUUUUGUGCACUAUUCAUUUAACUAUAACUUUGCCACCUUUGGACUCUAAUAGACUCAAAAACCUGUUUGUCCAGUUUAGUGUAUGUUUGUUUUAUUCCCUCACCCAUGACUUCCAGUCAUAUUACUGUAAGCUGAUAUUUGGAACUACAUAUAUCUUUUGUAUGUUUAUUUUUUUAAUUUUUUUUGCAAGUUUCAGGAUCUAUAUUUUGUUGUUUGUUUGUUUGUUUGUUUGUUUUUGAGACAGAGUCUCAUUCUGUCACCCAGGUUGGAGUGCAGUGACACGAUCUCAGCUCACUGCAACCUCCGCCUCCUAGGUUCAAGCGAUUCUCCUGCCUCAGUCUCCCGAGUAGCUGGGAUUACAGGCACCCGCCACCACACCUGGCUAAUUUUUGUAUUUUUAGCGGAGAUAGGGUUUCACAUGUUGGCCACACUAGUCCCAAACUCCUGACUUCAGGUGAUCUACCUGCCUUGGCCUCCCAAAGCGCUGGGAUUACAGGCGUGAGCCACCGCGCCCAGCCUGUAUAUGUUUAAAUUGUCAUAAAAACUAACACCCUUUGGGAGGCCGAGGCAGGCAGAUCAUGAGGUCAGGAGAUCGAGACCAUCCUGGCUAACACAGUGAAACCCCAUCUCUACUAAAAAUAUUUUUUUAAAAAUUAGCCAGGCUUGGUGGCGGGCGCCUGUAGUCCCAACCCAGGAGGCUGAGGCAGGAGAAUGGCAUGAACCCAGGAGGCAGAGCUGGCAGUGAGCCAAUAUCACGCCACUGCACUCCAGCCUGGACGACAGAGAGAGACUCCAUCUCAAAAAAAAAAAAAAAAAAAGAAAAAAGAAAACCAACACCAUGUGGGGAUGUUGGGAAUAGCAGUUGAAUGUUUCAGAAUUAGGUUUUUUGUAUUUGUGGUAUUCUCAGAUGGCCCAUUUUUCCAAGAUCACGUUAUGUCAUGUGGCUAGUUUGACAGCCCAUAAGCCAUAGUUCAGGGACAUUUUUACCUUUUUCUAAAGGGUAUAUAUAAAAAGAUAUAAAGAACAAACUAUUCAGAUAGUUUGGUAUCAGUGAAUCAUUUCAAUAAAAAUAUACUCUGAGUCUUCCUUCUUUCAGCAAAUGUUUACUGAGCUCCUACUAUAUGCUAGCAGUCAUUAUGCUAAGUUUUAAGUAUACAGCAGCAAACUAACUGAACAUAAUCCAGGCCUCACGGGAUAGAGAAAUUACACCAAAAAAUUAUAUGCAUAAUACAUUCAUACAUGUAUAAAAUCUUCAUACCAAUUACAAAGGAAAUCAACAGGGCUCUACAGAGAGUUAAAGAAGCUACUCUAAAAAGAACAGAAAAGGAAUGAGAAGUGAAAGGAAUUCCAGCAUUCUAGCUGGGUGCCGUGGCAUGCACCUGUAGCCCCAGCUACUCAGGAGGCUGAGGCAGGAGGACCCCACGAUCCCAGGAGUUCAAGUCUAGCCUAGGCAACAUAGCGAGACUCUCAUCUCAAAAAAAAAAGAAAAAGAAAAAAACUGUGUUAUAGGCUGGGCACAGUGGUUCGCGCCUGUAAUCCCAGCACUUUGGGAGGCUGAGGCGGGUGGAUCACGAGGUCAGGAUUUCAGGACCAGCCUGGCCAAGAUGGUGAAACCCCAUCUCUACUAAAAAUACAGAAAAAUAGGCCGGGCACAGUGGCUCACCCCUGUAAUCCCAGCACUUUGGGAGGCCAAGGCGGGCGGAUCACGAGGUCAAGAGAUUGAAAACAUCCUGGUCAACAUGGCAAAACCCUGUCUCUACUAAAAAUACAAAAAUUAGCUGGGCAUGGUGGCACACACCUGUAGUCCCAGCUACUCAGGAGGCUGAGGCAGGAGAAUCACCAGGAGGUGGAGGUUGUAGUGAGCCGAGAUUGUGCCACUGCACUCCAGCCCGGGCGACAGAGUGAGACUUUGUCUUAAAAAAAAAAAAAAUGAGUAGGAUUUGGGGGAGGAAUGGCAGAGAAAUGACCUGGUUAUCUAUUGCCAAAGCAAAAGCAAAGCAAGGAAAAAUUGUUUUAAAAAUACUUUAAAGAACAAGUGGAGGCCAGGUGUAGUGGCCCAUGCCUAUAAUCCCAGAACUUUGAGAGGCGGAGUCGGGUGGAUCACCUGAGUUCAGGAGUUCGAGACCAGCCUGACCAACAUGACCAACAUGGUGAAUCCCUGUCUGUACUAAAAAUACAAAAAUUAGCUGAGCAUGGUGGCUAACACCUGUAGUCCCAGCUGCUCGGGAGGCUGAGGCACAAGAAUUGCUCGAACUCAAGAGGCAGAGGUUUCAGUGAGCCUAGAUCAUGCCACUGCACUUCACCCUGGGCAACAGAGUGAGACUCGGUCUAAAAAAAAAAAAAGAAAGUGGAAUUUGAAAGUAAAAGCAUAAUACCAUUUAUAUUAGCAUGCCCCCAAAAAUUAAAUACUUAGGUAUAAAUCUAAUAAAUGUGUACAAGAUCUGUAAGAGGAAAACUUUGAAAACCUGAUGAAAGAAAUCAAAGAACAAUUAAACAAAUAUUGAGGUAUUUCAUGUUUUUGUUUAGGAAAACUCGAUAUUGUCAUGAUGUUCUUCCCAACUUCAUCUAUAGAUUCAAUGCAGUCCUUUUCAAAAUGUCAGGAGAUCAUUCUGUAGAUAUAAACAAACCGAUUCUAAAGUUUAUAUGGGCCAGGCGAAGUGGCUCACACCUAUAGUCCCAGCACUUUGGGAGGCCAAGGCGGGCAUAUCACCUGUCAGGAGUUUGAGACCAGCCUGGCCAACAUGACAUGGUAAACCCCUGUCUCUACUAAAAAUACAAAGAUCAGCUGGGUAUGGUUGUGGGCGCCUGUAAUCCCAGCUACUCAGGAGGCUGAGGCAGGAGAAUCCCUUGAGCCCAGGAGGGAGAGGUUGAAGUGAGCCGAGAUCGUGCCACUGCACUCCAGCCUGGGUGAUGGAGCAAGAUUCUGUCUCACCAAAAAAUAAUAAUAAAGUAUAUAUGGAGGAGGGAAAAGACCAAGAAUGAGCAACGCAAUAUUGAAGGAGAAUAACAAAGUUAGAGGAUGGCACUACCCAACUUCAAGACUUACUGGCCAGGCGUGGUGGCUCACACCUAUAAUCCCAGCACUUUGGGAGGCUGAGGCGGGUGGAUUACCUGAGGUCAGGAGUUCGAGACCAGCCUGACCAACAUGGUGAAACCCCGUCUCUACUACAAAUACAAAAAUUAGCCAGGCAUGGUGGUGGGCGCCUGUAAUCCCAGCUAUUCCUCAGGAGGCUGAGGCAUGAAAAUUGCUUGAACCUGGGUGGUGGAGGUUGCAGUGAGCCGAGAUCUCGCCAUUGAACUCUAGCCUGGGCAACAGAGUGAGACUCCAUCUCAAAAAAAAAAAAAAAAAGACUACUGUAAAGCUACAGUAAGUGGAUGCCUGUAAUCCCAGCUGCUCUGCAGGCUGAGGCAGAGAAUUGCUUGAACCCGGUAGGCGGAGGUUGCAGUGAGCUGAGAUCGCACCACUGCACUCCAGCCUGGACAACAGAGUGAGUCUCUGUCUCAAAAAAAAAAAAUUGUCACAUGUCUAAAUAUAAAAUGCAAUGCAAAAGCAUGAAAACACCUAAAAGAUAAGACAGAAUUAAAUCCAGAUGACCUAUGGCUUCGCGGUGACUUUUUAGGUACAACACCAAAGGCAUGGUACAUGAAAGAAAGAACCAAUAAGUUGGACUUCCUUAAAAUUGAAAAUUUGUGCUCUGCAAAAGACACUGUCAAGUGGAUAAAAAGAGAAGCCACAGAUUGGGAGAAAAUAUUUGUAAGACAUAUCCGAUACAAGACUAUUAUCUAAAAUAGACAAAAAAUUCUUUGAGAGGGAGUCUCGCUCUGUCCCCCAGGCUGGAGAGCAGUGGCGCGAUCUCGCCUCACUGCAAGCUCUGCAUCCCAGGUUCAUGUCAUUCUCCUGCCUCAGCCUUCCGAGUAGCUGGGACUACAGGCACCCACACCACGCCCGACUAAUUUUUUUGUAUUUUUAGUAGAGACGGGGUUUCACCGUGUUAGCCAGGAUGGUCUCAAUCUCCUGACCUUGUGAUUCACCCGCCUCAGCCUCCCAAAGUGCUGGGAUUACAG